RNAcentral lists this ribosomal RNA (253 nucleotides) under uncultured bacterium. RNAcentral describes it as "partial 16S ribosomal RNA". It matches the Rfam family "Bacterial small subunit ribosomal RNA", at positions 524 to 776 of the family's 1533-position model. The record is from RNAcentral.
UACGGAGGGUGCAAGCGUUAUCCGGAUUCACUGGGUUUAAAGGGUGCGUAGGUGGGUUUGUAAGUCAGUGGUGAAAUCUCCGGGCUUAACCCGGAAACUGCCAUUGAUACUAUUUGUCUUGAAUACUGUGGAGGUCAGCGGAAUAUGUCAUGUAGCGGUGAAAUGCUUAGAUAUGACAUAGAACACCAAUUGCGAAGGCAGCUGGCUACACAAAUAUUGACACUGAGGCACGAAAGCGUGGGGAUCAAACAGG